CCGCUUCGUAGCUUGUUUCUCGAGCGUCCCGCCCCGAUGCACAUAUUUAGCUUGGCUGGUGCGAUCAAUGGGUUGUUGCCUGUGUCGGUACUGUUUUUGGGACAAUGUUUGUAUUAUGACUACGGCAUGUCAUGUUGCCUUCGAUUAUGAUUUUGAGAAAGAUGCGUAGGCUAUUGAAACGUUGGCUUUGUUCGGGAGCGAUCGAUGGGUCUCGACUCGUCCGCAGCUCGCGUCAUAUUACAUGAGCAGCUCUUUCGGAUACGGUAGCUAUGUGGGUUCUCGUGGUCCUCUUCGGUCCGCAUGCAACCUCGUAGUACACGCCCGUAACAUUUCAUUGUGUGGUAGGAUC
RNAcentral lists this unclassified non-coding RNA (349 nucleotides) under Scleria tenella. RNAcentral describes it as "partial external transcribed spacer 1". The record is from RNAcentral. Lineage: Eukaryota; Viridiplantae; Streptophyta; Magnoliopsida; Poales; Cyperaceae.